UGAGACUGGUACCCUAACUCACCUUUCAGCCU
RNAcentral lists this non-coding RNA (32 nucleotides) under Rattus norvegicus (Norway rat). Lineage: Eukaryota; Metazoa; Chordata; Mammalia; Rodentia; Muridae. The record is from RNAcentral.